AAAACACUCCUUAAUGAGUAGAUACGAGUAAAAGAAGUAAGCUCAAGAUCACAACAACUUUGAACAAUAAUAUGGCUCUCAAAAUAUAUGUAAUGAAUAUAAAAGGAUAAGCAAUAGAGUAUGCAAGCUUAUAGCAAUUGUAUGAUUAGUUGUUGUGUGUUAUUGUGUUUAAAACACUGAAAUGAAGCUGUAUUUAUAGUUGAAAAACUUGGCAUUAUCGUUGCCUAAUUGCCAAUUA
This 238-nucleotide long non-coding RNA is filed under the name Nicotiana benthamiana. Its description in RNAcentral is "long non-coding RNA (NBEN_LNC032785)". The record is from RNAcentral. Lineage: Eukaryota; Viridiplantae; Streptophyta; Magnoliopsida; Solanales; Solanaceae.